GGCCCAUUAGCUAGCUGGUGGGGUAAUGGCCCACCAAGGAUACGAUGGGUAGCUGAUUCUGAGAGGAUGAUCAGCCACAUUGGUAACUGAGCCACGGUCCAGACUCUAUACGGGAGGCAGCAGUGGGGAAUUUUGCGCAAUGGGCGAAAGCCUGACGCAGCAACGCCGCGUGAGUGAUGAAGGCCUUCGGGUCGUAAAGCUCUGUCAGAGGGGAAGAAACUCCUGAAGCUAAUAUCUUCAGGCCUGACGGUACCCUCAAAGGAAGCACCGGCUAACUCCGUGCCAGCAGCCGCGGUAAUACGGAGGGUGCAAGCGUUGUUCGGAAUUAUUGGGCGUAAAGCGCGUGUAGGCGGCUACUCAAGUCCGAUGUGAAAGCCCGGGGCUCAACCCCGGAAGUGCAUUGGAAACUGGGUGGCUUGAGUACGGGAGAGGGGGGUGGAAUUCCGAGUGUAGGGGUGAAAUCCGUAGAUAUUCGGAGGAACACCGGUGGCGAAGGCGGCCUCCUGGACCGAUACUGACGCUGAGACGCGAAAGCGUGGGAAGCAAACAGGAUUAGAUACCCUGGUAGUCCACGCCGUAAACGAUGGGUACUAGGUGUUGCGGGUAUUGACCCCUGCAGUGCCGAAGCUAACGCAUUAAGUACCCCGCCUGGGGAGUACGGUCGCAAGACUAAAACUCAAAGGAAUUGACGGGGG
This 695-nucleotide ribosomal RNA is filed under the name uncultured bacterium. RNAcentral describes it as "bacterial SSU rRNA". It matches the Rfam family "Bacterial small subunit ribosomal RNA", at positions 235 to 919 of the family's 1533-position model. The record is from RNAcentral.